Molecule: ribosomal RNA, 254 nt
Filed under: uncultured bacterium
Lineage: Bacteria
Description: partial 16S ribosomal RNA
Rfam family: Bacterial small subunit ribosomal RNA
Source: RNAcentral
UACGUAGGGUGCGAGCGUUGUCCGGAAUUAUUGGGCGUAAAGAGCUCGUAGGCGGUGUGUCGCGUCGGCCGUGAAAACCUGGGGCUUAACUCUGGGCGUGCGGUCGAUACGGGCAUCACUAGAGUUCGGCAGGGGAGACUGGAAUUCCUGGUGUAGCGGUGAAAUGCGCAGAUAUCAGGAGGAACACCGGUGGCGAAGGCGGGUCUCUGGGCCGAUACUGACGCUGAGGCGCGAAAGCGUGGGUAGCAAACAGA